Molecule: long non-coding RNA, 516 nt
Organism: Salvia hispanica
Lineage: Eukaryota; Viridiplantae; Streptophyta; Magnoliopsida; Lamiales; Lamiaceae
Source: RefSeq, a predicted model, not a curated record
AGGUACGCCCUCGCACUCAACCUGGACAGAAGGUUGUUUUGAAGAAAAAAGGGAUCAAAGUAAGAAACUCGUUUUCUCUUGGAGAUGAAUACGUCCACUUUAAAGUUAGCAUUCCAACAAACUUGACCCAAAGGCAACGUCAAUUGGUGGAGGAGCUUGUUAAGGAAGAGCGAGGGAAAGAUGAUAAAGAAGACGAAGAUGAUAAAGAAGAGGCAGCAGUUGCAAGUGCUUGAGUUCUAUCUUGUAUUUGUUGUGAGCAAAAGAAACUACAGAGCCUCGUCAGUUGUGGAGGUGCAAUUGUUUUUUAAUUGAAAAGCUUAUUUAUAUAUUUAAGGCUUCAACUCUCUUCAAGAUCAUAUUUAUCUGACUUGGAUUAGUUCAUAAAUUUUGUAAAUAUUCAUUACUUUGGUGGUAAAAAUUUUGUUGUUUGUUCAUGUAGGCUUCAGAGGCUGAUGUAAUCUCCUAAAAUUCAUUCAAUAAUUCCCAAUGUAUUAAUUAAUGAGAUUUGGGUUCUAA